GUCCCUACGGGGGGCAGCAGUGGGGAAUAUUACACAAUGGAGGAAACCCUGAUGCAGCGACGCCGCGUGAGUGAAGAAGUAUUUCGGUACGUAAAGCUCUAUCAGCAGGGAAGAAAAAAAGUCCUUUGGACUUUGGACGGUACCUGACCAAGAAGCCCCGGCUAACUACGUGCCAGCAGCCGCGGUAAUACGUAGGGGGCAAGCGUUAUCCGGAUUUACUGGGUGUAAAGGGAGCGUAGACGGCAGCGCAGGUCUGGAGUGAAAUGCCGGGGCCCAACCCCGGAAAUGCUUU
RNAcentral lists this ribosomal RNA (292 nucleotides) under uncultured bacterium. RNAcentral's name for it is "partial 16S ribosomal RNA". It matches the Rfam family "Bacterial small subunit ribosomal RNA", at positions 335 to 627 of the family's 1533-position model. The record is from RNAcentral.